AAGGCAACUUUCUGGAUCAUUACUGACACUGAGGAGCGAAAGCAUGGGUAGCGAAGAGGAUUAGAUACCCUCGUAGUCCAUGCUGUAAACGAUGUGUGCUAGACGUUGGAAAUUUAGUUUUCAGUGUCGCAGCAAAAGCGUUAAGCACACCGCCUGGGGAGUACGACCGCAAGGUUAAAACUCAAAUGAAUUGACGGGGACCCGCACAAGUAGUGGAGCAUGUGGUUUAAUUCGAAGAUACGCGCAGAACCUUACCAACACUUGACAUGUUCGUCGCGACUCUAAGAGAUUAGAGUUUUCGGUUCGGCCGGACGAAACACAGGUGCUGCAUGGCUGUCGUCAGCUCGUGUCGUGAGAUGUUGGGUUAAGUCCCGCAACGAGCGCAACCCUUACUUUUAGUUGCUACCAUUUAGUUGGGCACUCUAAAAGAACUGCCAGUGAUAAGCUGGAGGAAGGCGGGGAUGACGUCAAGUCCUCAUGGCCCUUACGUGUUGGGCUACACACGUGCUACAAUGGUACUCACAGUGAGAAGCGAAGAGGCGACUCUAAGCCAAUCCCAAAAAAGUACCUCAGUUCGGAUUGUACUCUGCAACUCGAGUACAUGAAGCUGGAAUUACUAGUAAUCGCGGAUCAGCGCGCCGCGGUGAAUACGUUCCCGGGUCUUGUACACACCGCCCGUCACACCAUGGAAGUUGGUUACACCUUAAGGCAAGGCAUAAAAACUUUGACUACGGUACGAUCAGCAACUGGGGUGAAGUCGUAACAAGGUAGCCGUAGGGGAACCUGCGGCUG
This 792-nucleotide ribosomal RNA is filed under the name marine metagenome. RNAcentral's name for it is "bacterial SSU rRNA". It matches the Rfam family "Bacterial small subunit ribosomal RNA", at positions 718 to 1520 of the family's 1533-position model. The record is from RNAcentral.